This 1071-nucleotide unclassified non-coding RNA is filed under the name Melitaea cinxia (Glanville fritillary). RNAcentral's name for it is "misc RNA ENSMCXG00005009211.1". The record is from RNAcentral. Lineage: Eukaryota; Metazoa; Arthropoda; Insecta; Lepidoptera; Nymphalidae.
UUAUAUGUAUAGAUGUCAACAAUUAUUGUACAAUAUUUGCUAUCGCUCGUCUAUCGUAAGUGAUAAUCCAAAUAAUUAGAUAUUUAUACACAUGAUUACUCGUUCACACAGUACUGUUACGUAGAUAUAUGAUAUGGCUGAUAGCAAACGCAAUUAACCAGGUAUAUUUUUCUUAUUUACAAUUUGUUUAUAUUUGAAUAGUAUAUAAGGUAUGAACACAUCUUGAUUAUUACUGAGACAUAUUUAUUAUUUUUAUUAAUUUUUGUAUGUACGGUCGGCCAAGAAAGUGGUGUACCAGUUUUGAUUUAAUUUCCUGGUCAUCGAAAAUUACAACAAGGUUCGUUAUUAAAAGAUAUUACUGAAAGAGACAUAUAAUAAUGACGUAAACCUAAUUGAUAAGUAUUCAUACGUCAUUACGGUACAUAAAUAUUAGUUAAGGUAAAUAAGAUAGAAGCUUAAUUUUUUUAAAAAUUAUAACUGUCACAACAAUGUGUUUUGAACUGCGUCUUACAAGGAAAACAAGUUGUUUUUUCUCAAAUAUUUUUUAUUUAUUUAAUAAAUAUUUUAUUUUGUGUAUGUGUUUUUUACUGUCUAAUUGAAACAAUAUUUUUGUGACGAUGAUUCAUCGUUCCUGUCGUACCAAUAUAUGAAUUGAUUAAGUUUUUUGUAUUUAAUAUUCUCAGACAAGGUUCGCAACAAAGGGAAAUUAAAAAGUCGAUGUCUUUAUUGUUGUAUAAUAUAUUUAUGUAGAACUUUUACAACGUCCCUCGUGCAGGAGAGUAUCACUUUCACAUUGUAACCUGAAAACAAAACAAAAUAAAUAAUAAGCUAGCUGAGCUGACCUGGCGAACUUCGUACCAUCAUAUUUUUUAAUUAUUAAAAAAAAUCGUGGUCAUUAAUCGAAAUAAAAUAUAGCCUAUAUUAAGUUGGACAAAGUUAUAAAUCUGUGUCAAAUUUCAUCAAAUUCGGUGCAGUAGGUUUGGUAAUUAGUCCAGACAAACAUUUUGAUACGAGAUUUUUAUAUGUUUUGAUACAAUUCGCUGUCAACUUUAACUUUUGUAUCCACAAAUA